Small nucleolar RNA from Benincasa hispida (wax gourd), 126 nucleotides. The record is from RefSeq and is a predicted model, not a curated record. NCBI's taxonomy places the organism in Eukaryota, Viridiplantae, Streptophyta, Magnoliopsida, Cucurbitales, Cucurbitaceae.
GAGCAAGGGCGUCUAUGAUAAUAAUGGCGUGAAUUGCAUUGAAGGUUGGCAAUACUAACGUUAGCGAUUCUCCGUGCCUGGCAAAUCUUUUGGUUUUGAUCAUGGCCUCGAACAAGUCGCUACAUU